Molecule: unclassified non-coding RNA, 329 nt
Filed under: soil metagenome
Description: partial contains 5.8S ribosomal RNA, internal transcribed spacer 2, and large subunit ribosomal RNA
Rfam family: 5.8S ribosomal RNA (bases 1-120)
Source: RNAcentral
GAUGAAGAACGUAGCGAAAUGCGAUAAGUAAUGUGAAUUGCAGAAUUCAGUGAAUCAUCGAAUCUUUGAACGCACAUUGCGCCCCCUGGUAUUCCGGGGGGCAUGCCUGUCCGAGCGUCAUUACAACCCUCAAGCUCAGCUUGGUGUUGGGCCCCGCCGCCCCGGCGGGCCCUAAAGUCAGUGGCGGUGCCGUCCGGCUCCGAGCGUAGUAAUUCUUCUCGCUCUGGAGGUCCGGUCGUGUGCUCGCCAGCAACCCCCAAUUUUUUUCAGGUUGACCUCGGAUUAGGUAGGGAUACCCGCUGAACUUAAGCAUAUCAAUAAGCGGAGGA